This is a ribosomal RNA of 1424 nucleotides. It matches the Rfam family "Bacterial small subunit ribosomal RNA".
UGCAGUCGAACGAUGAAGCCCAGCUUGCUGGGUGGAUUAGUGGCGAACGGGUGAGUAACACGUGAGUAACCUGCCCUUAACUCUGGGAUAAGCCUGGGAAACUGGGUCUAAUACCGGAUAGGAGCGUCCACCGCAUGGUGGGUGUUGGAAAGAUUUAUCGGUUUUGGAUGGACUCGCGGCCUAUCAGCUUGUUGGUGAGGUAAUGGCUCACCAAGGCGACGACGGGUAGCCGGCCUGAGAGGGUGACCGGCCACACUGGGACUGAGACACGGCCCAGACUCCUACGGGAGGCAGCAGUGGGGAAUAUUGCACAAUGGGCGCAAGCCUGAUGCAGCGACGCCGCGUGAGGGAUGACGGCCUUCGGGUUGUAAACCUCUUUCAGUAGGGAAGAAGCGAAAGUGACGGUACCUGCAGAAGAAGCACCGGCUAACUACGUGCCAGCAGCCGCGGUAAUACGUAGGGUGCGAGCGUUAUCCGGAAUUAUUGGGCGUAAAGAGCUCGUAGGCGGUUUGUCGCGUCUGUCGUGAAAGUCCGGGGCUUAACCCCGGAUCUGCGGUGGGUACGGGCAGACUAGAGUGCAGUAGGGGAGACUGGAAUUCCUGGUGUAGCGGUGGAAUGCGCAGAUAUCAGGAGGAACACCGAUGGCGAAGGCAGGUCUCUGGGCUGUAACUGACGCUGAGGAGCGAAAAGCAUGGGGAGCGCACAGGAUUAGAUACCCUGGUUAUUCCAUGCCGUAAACGUUGGGCACUAGGUGUGGGGACCAUUCCACGGUUUCCGCGCCGCAGCUAACGCAUUAAGUGCCCCGCCUGGGGAGUACGGCCGCAAGGCUAAAACUCAAAGGAAUUGACGGGGGCCCGCACAAGCGGCGGAGCAUGCGGAUUAAUUCGAUGCAACGCGAAGAACCUUACCAAGGCUUGACAUGUUCUCGAUCGCCGUAGAGAUACGGUUUCCCCUUUGGGGCGGGUUCACAGGUGGUGCAUGGUUGUCGUCAGCUCGUGUCGUGAGAUGUUGGGUUAAGUCCCGCAACAAGCGCAACCCUCGUUCCAUGUUGCCAGCACGUCGUGGUGGGGACUCAUGGGAGACUGCCGGGGUCAACUCGGAGGAAGGUGAGGACGACGUCAAAUCAUCAUGCCCCUUAUGUCUUGGGCUUCACGCAUGCUACAAUGGCCGGUACAAUGGGUUGCGAUACUGUGAGGUGGAGCUAAUCCCAAAAAGCCGGUCUCAGUUCGGAUUGGGGUCUGCAACUCGACCCCAUGAAGUCGGAGUCGCUAGUAAUCGCAGAUCAGCAACGCUGCGGUGAAUACGUUCCCGGGCCUUGUACACACCGCCCGUCAAGUCACGAAAGUUGGUAACACCCGAAGCCGGUGGCCUAACCCUUGUGGGGGGAGCCGUCGAAGGUGGGACCAGCGAUUGGACUAAGUCGA